AUGUCCGACAGAGCCCCUUACUCCCAUUGCAAACAGUUAGGGAGUCAUAUAAAAAAGAGAGAGAAGAGAGAGAGUGAGGGAGGGAAAAUCGAAGCGCCUCUUGACGUAGUCUUCACAGGCUUCGGGUUCAAGCACAGUUCAUUCCAGGCUUUUUCUGUUUCUCACACACUCCAAAAAAAAUUAUUCCCCGAGUUCUUCAAAAAAAGCCAAGGCCAAAUUGUAAAUACCUGCCGUUCAAGACUGGAUAGCACAUUCAAAUUGUACAAUACAUGCUUACAUACACCCUUAUACAAUCACCUAUUUUGUUUUAUAUAUCUGAAGGCCUACAGGGACAGUUCACCCAAAAACUAACUUUCGUCUGCAAAUACAAAAGAAUAUAUUUUGGGAAAAACACACACACACACACACACACACACACAAACACAGAGAGAGAGAGAGAGAGAGAGAGAGAGAGAGAGAGAGUUAAUGCAGUCCAAUGUGGUUUUGAGCCCAUUGACUUUUAUAUUAAGUACAAAAGCAGAUUUCAAAAUCUAUUUUUUUAUGUUCCACAGAAGAAAGAAGUCAUGCAGGUUUGGAAUGUUGCGAGUAAAUGAUGUCAGAAAAUAAUUUUUUGGGUGAACUAUCCUUUUAAUUAACUGUCCACAUCCAUAAAAGCAAAAUCUUGUGCUUAGUCGAAAUAAUAUCAAGCAGCUUAUCAGUUCAAAGUCAAAAGCCUUUGCUUGCUCAGCACCCCUGUGUGUCUUGUUUUCUGAUUAAUCAGAGACCAUUACAGGCCUGUAUUGUCAAGGACAGCGAGGACCUUCCAAUUGUCUCUCAGAUGUAAAGCAAACAGGUUUCCGUUCCAUAUGCUAAUCUCAUUGUUUAAUGACUACUCAUAAAGUGGCCUAGAUAAUGAGGAUCAUUAAUAAAACCUCUGUAAGCCCGGGAUUUGUCAAUUCUAAGUCACUUGCAUAAGGCUGAGUUUAGUCCAGCUCCUUCCUGGGAAAACAGCUGGAGUGGUGAUGGAAACACUUUUCUUUUCUCCCCCUCAUCUUCAGCUAUUUGUUUAUUUUCCCUUACUCAAGAAUGUACAAGAACAUCUCUUAGCUGCAUGUGAUGUGAUUUUUUUAACCCACCCUCUCCUAUUUUCUCAUAUUUGGUUCCGUGAGAAUUUUCAUGACAAGCAGCAUAUACCAACAGGAAUGCAGUGAAAAAGCAGAAGCUGGAUUUCCCCGAGAGGAGAGACUGAAAGAGAGACAAGGAGAGUGAGAGAGGCAUCCAGACAGAGUGACUAAGCAAAUGACAUACAGUAGUUAGUGGAUCCAUCCUUGUAUCUUUCCAGUGCUGAGAAGCCUCUUUCAAAUAUCUCUUUUAUUCACACGCUAAAGUAGAAUGAGUAAAUAGGCAAUAUUUAACAUAAAUACACUUAUAUACAUGGGUGUCAUGCACCUUAUGAGGGGACACAAUUCUUUCUUAGAUUCUUAGAUUUCUUAGAAUUCUUAGAUAUUUUGUGUCCUAUGCGAAAAAAAAGAAAGAAAGAAAGAAAGAAAGAAAGAAAGAAAGAAAGAAAGAAAGAAAAAACUUCAUCAGCUUAAGAUUUCUUUAAACACAAACCUAAAUUACAAAACAAAACAAACACUUAUUGGCAAAUUCCUUUUGACCUAUAUUGUUGUCCACUUAUUUGAGGGGAGCGGCUGUAUCCUACAGCAUCUCAUAAAUCCAACUCUAUUAAAAGUGUUUUUCAAGCUUUAGUAGAGGAAGGCAAAAUGAAAGUGGAAAGUUCAACGCACCUCUUACAAACAUGUAGUAUUAAAACUCCUACUUGGAUUUUUUUUUAUGCCUCUAGUUGAGGCAUAUGUCUUCCUUUUGCCUGUCCAGAGCAGCGAUUGGAAAUACAAAUGUAUUUUUCACUCUUUUGUGAGAAAAACAUUACAUGUCCAAAUGCUUCAAAAGAUUGCAAGAGUGAGUCCAGGAGGCAUGCUACAGUAUUUAAUAAAACACAGCGAGAGAGUGUGUGGAUUUUCACAGCAGACCUUUAAAAGAAUGCUUAUUAAGGGGGUGUUGAGGAGGUGUUGAAAGCGUUGAGAGCACAGAGGGGCGGCACAGAGCGUGUGGGCAAAGCCAUCACUUAUUUGCAGAUGUUAUCGGGUCACAACUCCAGCGAGGCCUCGGUGUCCCAAAGGAAACAUAAAAACCCAUAUGUUAAAGACAUCAGGUGGGAAAUCUUAACUUUGAUUGGGAAGAGAAUAACAGCUUUGGGCAAGACAUAUCUUGCCUGAUGUUCCACCAGUUUUGGGCCUGUUAUUUUCAUUUUCUAUAACAAAAGAUGCAAAUGGUAUCAGGGCAGCAAACUUUUAGUUAUACAAGACAUAAUAUGGCAGAAAAUUACUGAAGUCCUAAAAAAAAAAAUCUGUCAAUUUAAUAAGUGUUUUUGACUUUGCCUCGAGUUUUAUCCAACCAUAGCUAUUUAAAAUGAGGAUAGUAGUGCCUCUGGACUGUCUGAAUGAUGUCCUGGCAUUCACAAGGUCCUUUUGGUCAUCUAAAACUUGAACACUUGAGAAAGUUUUACUCUCUAACAACCCUUCAAAAAAGACAUUAUGAAAGUAGGGGCAUUUCUGCCAAACAGUGAUCCCUUGAAGAACCUCUUGGAGGAGACUGGGAGGAGGAGUUCUGUCUUUUAGAAAACAUCUCCAGACUUGGGAAAGUCAAAGUGCACUGCCAAAAGAUCUUGGAAGAGUGUUUCUCAUGAAGAUGUUAUGUCUGGAGUUUCUCGGAUAACUUCCUCUAUUGCCCAUUAGGCCACAUUUCUGAAAGAACGUAUUUAGAGGCAACACAUGAGAACACAGAAAUUAGACAAAAUUUUUUUUUUUUGGAAUGAGACAUUUUUUAACAAUUGGCAGAUUUUUAAACAUGCUCUCUUAAUUAAUGUUGAAAUGUGACAGCAUGGUACAAUCUGAUUUUGCUUAUAUUUAUAUAUACAGUAUUUUUUAUGCUAACUGUCAAUUUGAUGACUGAUAAUUUAUUUAUUUAUUUAUUUUCAAGCCAAUAUGGAUCCAGCAGAGUAGCAUAAACGUGACUAUUGUUGCGUUUAUUGACGGAAUGUUGAUGUUGACAAAUGAGAGCUCGUCCCAUUGGCCCCAUUUCUUUAAUAAUGCUCUUUUGCAAAACUGAGGGAUGUCAUCCAUUAUGGAUCAAGAGACUUUUCUGUUUGUUUGUUAUGUGCGCAAUGUCAGUGUGCACAAGUCAAAGGGAAAAAGCCCUUUGUCUAUCAUGCCACUAAUAAACACGGGGAGUUAAAUAUUUCAUCUCAUGAGGAGGCAUGGCAGGGGCCUCUGAGAUUGCGAUGCCAGCGAGCAGAGCUUGUGCAAUCCUCCUUCUUUGGUGUUUGCUGAUAAACUUGCAAGUACUGCCAUGGAGACCUUCCUCAUUUAACUUAUUUAACAAGGGCUUGUUCUUCUGAAAGCAGAUCCACCCUGAGGAUAGACGUUUUGACUCAACUUUGUGUCUGUCUAUUAAUAAAUUAGCCAUUCUGUCAUAUUUGGC
Long non-coding RNA from Cyprinus carpio carpio, 3522 nucleotides. NCBI's taxonomy places the organism in Eukaryota, Metazoa, Chordata, Actinopteri, Cypriniformes, Cyprinidae. The record is from Ensembl.